Molecule: ribosomal RNA, 427 nt
Filed under: uncultured bacterium
Lineage: Bacteria
Description: bacterial SSU rRNA
Rfam family: Bacterial small subunit ribosomal RNA
Source: RNAcentral
GACGAACGCUGGCGGCGUGCCUAACACAUGCAAGUCGAACGGACGAAGGAGCUUUGGCUCCCUAGUUAGUGGCGAACGGGUGAGUAACGCGUGAGCAACCUGCCUUUCAGAGGGGGACAACAGCUGGAAACGGCUGCUAAUACCGCAUAACAUGAUCUAGUCGCAUGACUGGAUCAUCAAAGAUUUAUCGCUGAAAGAUGGGCUCGCGUCUGAUUAGCUAGUUGGUGGGGUAAAGGCCCACCAAGGCGACGAUCAGUAGCCGGACUGAGAGGUUGAACGGCCACAUUGGGACUGAGAUACGGCCCAGACUCCUACGGGAGGCAGCAGUGGGGAAUAUUGGGCAAUGGGGGCAACCCUGACCCAGCAACGCCGCGUGAAGGAAGAAGGCUUUCGGGUUGUAAACUUCUUUUACCAGGGACGAAGGACG